GGUAGGAGCCGGCUUGCUGGCGAUGGCGUCAACGCGUGUUUCAGAUAAACCGCAGUGAUGCCAUCGCCAGCAAGCCGGCUCCUACA
Molecule: unclassified non-coding RNA, 86 nt
Filed under: Pseudomonas migulae
Lineage: Bacteria; Pseudomonadati; Pseudomonadota; Gammaproteobacteria; Pseudomonadales; Pseudomonadaceae
Source: RNAcentral